GAUGAACGCUGGCGGCGUGCUUAACACAUGCAAGUCGAACGGAAAGGCCUCUGCUUGCAGAGGUACUCGAGUGGCGAACGGGUGAGUAACACGUGGGUGGUCUGCCCUGCACUUCGGGGGAUAAGCCUGGGAAACUGGGUCUAAUACCGGAUAGGACGAUGGUUUGGAUGCCAUUGUGGAAAGUUUUCGGUGUGGGAUGAGCUCGCGGCCUAUCAGCUUGUUGGUGGGGUAAUGGCCUACCAAGGCGUCGACGGGUAGCCGGCCUGAGAGGGUGUACGGCCACAUUGGGACUGAGAUACGGCCCAGACUCCUACGGGAGGCAGCAGUGGGGAAUAUUGCACAAUGGGCGCAAGCCUGAUGCAGCGACGCCGCGUGGGGGAUGACGGCCUUCGGGUUGUAAACUCCUUUCGUCAGGGACGAAGCGAAAGUGACGGUACCUGGAUAAGAAGCACCGGCUAACUACGUG
RNAcentral lists this ribosomal RNA (466 nucleotides) under uncultured bacterium. Its description in RNAcentral is "bacterial SSU rRNA". It matches the Rfam family "Bacterial small subunit ribosomal RNA", at positions 28 to 507 of the family's 1533-position model. The record is from RNAcentral.